AAUUACUGUUAAAUCCUCUUUAUAUUAAUUUUUAGAGUUAAUGUGUGCUUAGAAGUAAAUUGUAGCUCAUUGUUUCUAUAAAAUGCGCUGCACCAUGACCUGUUUUUAUUGAUUAGUAAUUCAAUUAAUAAAACUUUUUAGUGGUUAACUUCUACGGCGGUAUACAUACAUAUUUAUAGUAAGUUUGUCGUGUGGUGUCGUUUACACAACAAGCUCCUCUAAUUAGGUGAAUUGCCGCCAAAUUCUUUGGGUUUGAUGUUUAUAUUGUUUACUACCCUCCAUUGGUUUAAUCAGGAAUAAUAGGGUAUCUAAUCC
Molecule: ribosomal RNA, 315 nt
Filed under: Typhlocirolana sp. 5-BA2001
Lineage: Eukaryota; Metazoa; Arthropoda; Malacostraca; Isopoda; Cirolanidae
Description: partial 12S ribosomal RNA
Source: RNAcentral